RNAcentral lists this small RNA (507 nucleotides) under Pongo abelii (Sumatran orangutan). Its description in RNAcentral is "retained intron". Lineage: Eukaryota; Metazoa; Chordata; Mammalia; Primates; Hominidae. The record is from RNAcentral.
UGGUCGCGGGAAGGCUGGACCUGUUCUGGCUUGCACCGGGAUCUACGCCCUCCUGCCAGAGGCUGGCUCUCGCCUCUCCUCCCUUCCUCGAUUCUGCGCCGUCACCCCUCACCCACGCCGCUUAUUUUCCCUCCCUUUGCACACUCCCAUGGGACAGGCAGAGUUACAGGCUUAAGACUUUAUCUCAUUGUGGAAAGCAAGAGACGAAGCCAAAAACUUUGGUCGUGCUUUUCAACAUCUCUGGUCAAAAGAGGUCGCCAAUCUGGUUUUCUCCCAUUGCUGCAUGAUAGAGGGGUUUGGUGCCAUGAUACCACUUUUAAAAAUCCUGUUGAAUGCAAGUCCUCUUUGUUGCUCAUUGAACAAUGAGGAUAUUUAGCUCCCCUCAGAGCUACCCUCAGAGUUGGAUGAGCUAUCCUCAGAGUUGGAUGCCACCACCAGGAGCAGCAAAAGCGAAGGCAAUCAUGAUUCUGCCUCAGAAGCAAUCGAAUAAAAUAUUUUGAAAAUGAG